Non-coding RNA from Glossina pallidipes, 93 nucleotides. The record is from Rfam. Lineage: Eukaryota; Metazoa; Arthropoda; Insecta; Diptera; Glossinidae.
GGGGGUCGUUUUUACUACGUAAGCGCCAUGAAUGGCGAAUCGUGCAUGCUGCUACUAAGUACCAGCAGUAUCUUUUGAAGAUUUUCUACCUCC